RNAcentral lists this ribosomal RNA (542 nucleotides) under uncultured fungus. RNAcentral describes it as "eukaryotic LSU rRNA". It matches the Rfam family "Eukaryotic large subunit ribosomal RNA", at positions 24 to 664 of the family's 3401-position model. Lineage: Eukaryota; Fungi. The record is from RNAcentral.
CCCGCUGAACUUAAGCAUAUCAGUAAGCGGAGGAAAAGAAACUAACGAGGAUUCCCCCAGUAACGGCGAGUGAAGCGGGAACAGCCCAUGGAUUAAAUGAAUUUCAAGUUCAUGAUGUACCGUGGAGAGUUUAAUGAUAUUUUGAUGAUUUUGCACAAGAUCUUUGGAAAGAGACGGCAUAGAGGGUGAUACCCCCGUGUUGCAAAAUGAUUUUGAUAUUAUUUUAGUCAGCGAGUCGGAUUGUUUGGGAAUGCAAUCCCAAUUGGGUGGUACGCGCCAUCUAAGGCUAAACAAGGGCAAGAGACCGAUAGCGAACAAGUACCGUGAGGGAAAGAUGAAAAGGACUCUGAAGAGAGAGUCAAAAGUGCGUGAAAUUGCAGCAAGGGAAACGAACGGUGAGUGAUAUGAUGAUGAGCGAGUUUACGUCUGGUUUGCAAGCAGUGGAGGUAUUGACAAGCAGUCAAACAUACAGCACAGCACAGGCACACUAAGGGCGACUCACACAACAUCACAGGCACUGUUUGACCCGUCUUGAAACACGG